Non-coding RNA from Podarcis lilfordi (Lilford's wall lizard), 67 nucleotides. The record is from the annotation of a GenBank genome assembly. Lineage: Eukaryota; Metazoa; Chordata; Lepidosauria; Squamata; Lacertidae.
ACAGUUCAGUCAGUAGAGCAUGAGACUCUUCAUCUCAAGGCCGCGGGUUUGAGCCCCGUGUUGGGUG